GAAAGGGUGAAAAUAUGUGGACAUGGCAUCUGCCCGGUAAGCAGAACGUUGUGGGUUCGAUUCCCGCCCCUGGACA
This is a non-coding RNA of Cordylochernes scorpioides, 76 nucleotides long. Lineage: Eukaryota; Metazoa; Arthropoda; Arachnida; Pseudoscorpiones; Chernetidae. The record is from the annotation of a GenBank genome assembly.